Molecule: small nuclear RNA, 306 nt
Filed under: Cariama cristata (Red-legged seriema)
Lineage: Eukaryota; Metazoa; Chordata; Aves; Cariamiformes; Cariamidae
Description: 7SK RNA
Rfam family: 7SK RNA
About the family: 7SK was discovered as an abundant small nuclear RNA in the mid-70s but a possible function has only recently been suggested. Two independent studies have found that 7SK RNA binds the CDK9/cyclin T complex (known as elongation factor P-TEFb).
Source: Rfam by way of RNAcentral
GGAUGUGAGGUGAUCUGGCUGUGACAUCUGUCACCCCAUUGAUCGCCAGGGUUGAUUUGGCUGGUCUGGCUGGCUAGGCAGGUGUCCCCUUCCUCCCUCGUCACUCCAUGUACAUCCCUCCCAAAGCUGCGCACUCAGUCAAAGAGGACAACUUUCCCCAAUAGAGAUGUACUGUUCAUCGGUCAAGGAUAUACAGUAGCUGCGCUCCCCUGCUAGAAACUCCAAACAAGCUCUGUGUUUGCCCUGAAAUACUGGGUCGUAGGACAUGCUAGCAAAUAAUCUGCAAAGUUCAAGUGCUGUCUUUUU